UCCUUCGUGGUGUAAUGGUGAGCACGCUCGACGCGUAUUCUAGAGGUCCGAGGUUCGAGUCCCGGCGAGGGCA
RNAcentral lists this transfer RNA (73 nucleotides) under Stegodyphus mimosarum. It matches the Rfam family "tRNA". From Rfam's summary of the family: Transfer RNA (tRNA) molecules are approximately 80 nucleotides in length. Their secondary structure includes four short double-helical elements and three loops (D, anti-codon, and T loops). Further hydrogen bonds mediate the characteristic L-shaped molecular structure. tRNAs have two regions of fundamental functional importance: the anti-codon, which is responsible for specific mRNA codon recognition, and the 3' end, to which the tRNAs corresponding amino acid is attached (by aminoacyl-tRNA synthetases). tRNAs cope with the degeneracy of the genetic code in two manners: having more than one tRNA (with a specific anti-codon) for a particular amino acid; and 'wobble' base-pairing, i.e. permitting non-standard base-pairing at the 3rd anti-codon position. Lineage: Eukaryota; Metazoa; Arthropoda; Arachnida; Araneae; Eresidae. The record is from Rfam by way of RNAcentral.